AUUGAACGCUGGCGGCAGGCCUAACACAUGCAAGUCGAGCGGAUGAAGGGAGCUUGCUCCUGGAUUCAGCGGCGGACGGGUGAGUAAUGCCUAGGAAUCUGCCUGGUAGUGGGGGAUAACGUCCGGAAACGGGCGCUAAUACCGCAUACGUCCUGAGGGAGAAAGUGGGGGAUCUUCGGACCUCACGCUAUCAGAUGAGCCUAGGUCGGAUUAGCUAGUUGGUGGGGUAAAGGCCUACCAAGGCGACGAUCCGUAACUGGUCUGAGAGGAUGAUCAGUCACACUGGAGCUGGAACACGGACCAGACUCCUACGGGAGGCAGCAGUGGGGAAUAUUGGACAGUGGGCGAAAGCCUGAUCCAGCCAGGCCGCGUGUGUGAAGAAGGUCUUCGGAUUGUAAAGCACGUUAAGUUGGGAGGAAGGGCAGUAAGUUAAUACCUUGCUGUUUUGACGUUAACAACAGAAUAAGCACCGGCUAACUUCGUG
Molecule: ribosomal RNA, 484 nt
Filed under: uncultured bacterium
Lineage: Bacteria
Description: partial 16S ribosomal RNA
Rfam family: Bacterial small subunit ribosomal RNA
Source: RNAcentral